This 756-nucleotide ribosomal RNA is filed under the name Triticum aestivum (bread wheat). RNAcentral describes it as "partial small subunit ribosomal RNA". The record is from RNAcentral. Lineage: Eukaryota; Viridiplantae; Streptophyta; Magnoliopsida; Poales; Poaceae.
AUGCAUAAGCUCGUAAACGUUCAUUAUUUGGACAAGUCGACAUUUAUGCUUGGAAAUGACGAUGAAGGGGAAGAGGCUAUGGUUUUUGACACAAGUCCAAGCUUUGAUGAUCUUGUAGUUCAAGUGAGAAGCGUCUUACAUUGGAAUGACCCAAAUGCCGAGGUUAAGCUUAUUGGGAGGUAUGACGUUGGAUUGGGAGUAAAGUCCCGAUUAAAGAGUAUGCCCAUCACCUCCCAAUUGCAUUGGAAUGUGUAUAAGGAAAAAGUAGACGCGUCACAAGACAAGUCUCUUGAGAUCUUUGCCACAAAGGUUGAUCCUCCUCCUCCUUUGCAAAUUGAUCUCAACCGCAAUGCAUCCUCCCCCAUGCAUGAUGACAGUGCCGAGGUGUAUGUCCCCAAUUCUUCUAGCCAACCACCAAGUAGCCAACCCAAUGAAGAUCAUAUCAACGCUAGCGCCAUAGUACUCCGUCAUGAUGCUAUUCCUCAUGUUGAAGAAGAUGCUAUUCCUCAUGUUGAUGAUGAUGCUAUUGUUGCUCUAGAGGAGGAUGUUUACUCGGAGAAUGAAGAGAUCCAUUACAAUCCAAUUGGUAACUUGGAUGUCAUUGUGCGGCAACAAGACAUGGACCGUACCCUCCCUUAUAACCGUAUGUAUGGGUAUAACUCGGAUGACGAGGGUCCGGAGGAAGAGUUGGAUGAGGAUGGGUUGAGUGCGCAAGAAAACGAAAUCUACAAGAUCCCGCACUCAUGGUGCCUAUGA